This 253-nucleotide ribosomal RNA is filed under the name uncultured bacterium. Its description in RNAcentral is "partial 16S ribosomal RNA". It matches the Rfam family "Bacterial small subunit ribosomal RNA", at positions 524 to 776 of the family's 1533-position model. The record is from RNAcentral.
GACAGAGGGUGCAAACGUUGCUCGGAAUCACUGGGCGUAAAGGGCGUGUAGGCGGGAAGGUAAGUCGGGCGUGAAAUCCCUGAGCUCAACUCAGGAACUGCACUCGAAACUACUUUUCUUGAGUGCCGGAGAGGAAAGCGGAAUACCUGGUGUAGAGGUGAAAUUCGUAGAUAUCAGGUGGAACACCAGUGGCGAAGGCGGCUUUCUGGACGGUAACUGACGCUGAGACGCGAAAGCGUGGGGAGCAAACAGG